This 71-nucleotide transfer RNA is filed under the name Marmota monax (woodchuck). RNAcentral's name for it is "tRNA.Ala". It matches the Rfam family "tRNA". From Rfam's summary of the family: Transfer RNA (tRNA) molecules are approximately 80 nucleotides in length. The record is from RNAcentral. Lineage: Eukaryota; Metazoa; Chordata; Mammalia; Rodentia; Sciuridae.
GAGGUUGUAGCUCAGUGGUAGAGUGCUUGCCUUGCACGGAUGAGGCCCUGGGUUUGAUCCUCAGCACCACA